UGUGUUUAAGAAAGACUAAGGGAGGUAC
Molecule: non-coding RNA, 28 nt
Filed under: Mus musculus (house mouse)
Lineage: Eukaryota; Metazoa; Chordata; Mammalia; Rodentia; Muridae
Source: RNAcentral